RNAcentral lists this long non-coding RNA (2416 nucleotides) under Homo sapiens (human). Its description in RNAcentral is "HSALNT0379432". Lineage: Eukaryota; Metazoa; Chordata; Mammalia; Primates; Hominidae. The record is from RNAcentral.
UCCGCCGUGCGUGACUUUCCUCGUCGCGUCCAGCUCCCCUUUUCUUUGACCUUACGUGACCUUGGGAAAAACCUCCAGGCUGCUACCCCAUCUGCACAUGGGAGGGCCGGGGGUAGGAGCCGCGACCCCUAAGGGCUCCACCGCCUUCUGCCCGGCCAGGGUCGUGCCUGGCGCGCCCCCGCUCCAGCUGACCCGCGCAAGGGAGGGAGGGGCGGACGGAUGGGGACAGCUGUUUAGGAGCGCGCACUGCGCCCAUCUCGGCCUCAACACUCAUGUUUCCACUUCGUUUCACGACCACCAGCCACAGUGGACACGAUGAUCCCCAGUUCACCCGCCAGCAAAUCAGGGCUCAGAGAGGUGGCCUCAAAGAGAGGAGCGGCCAGGAGGGAAGCCGGGGGUUUGCCCUGCGGUUCUUCCCACAUCUGGGCGGGAUAGAUUCGAUUGGGCCUCGGCCACCCCCACCGUCUCCGUCGGGGGUUCCAAGGUUUGGGGUCAUGACCUAGGGGGCUUAGGAGCCUGGGUCCAUCUCAACUAAUUUAUGGCCUCACUCGCCCCCAGCGGCUGGGAAUUCUAGGCCCAUUUUACAGAUGUGGACGCAGAUCUGGAGAGGGGCAAUGACUGCUCAACCCCCCACCCAUCCUCCCAGACACGACCUUCCACCUGGAAUCCCCCCACACACGUUCUCAGAGGCCAGGCAGCCGGGGUCUCAUGGUGAAAUCCCCACAUUCCAUGCAGGGGCUCUUUCUGGUUCCUUCCCUAGAAUGCUGUCCCUGCCCUUCCAGUACUAUCUCACCAGGGAGACCCUCCCACUCCCCCACUCCGCUCCAACCAAGCAAGGCCUCUGCCUCGCCCCGGUGGGAGGGGCCUCGUCCAGAGGGCACGCCCCUGCACACACAAUCAGCCCUGUCCUGGCUUCUCUGUGUGCCCCAGCCAGUCAGUCUGGGUGGAAGUCUUACCUGGGCCCUCUCAACAGACCUAGGCAGGCCUCUGUCCCCAGCCCAACGAGCUCAAUCCCUUAAGCACACACGCCACAGAGCAGUCCUGAGAGGCCAGGUGGACAGUACCAUGAGGCAGACAAAGCUGUGAGGCCCAGAGAGGGUCAGGCCACCCCAGCCCAGGUAGGCACUCACAUGUAUCCUGCCCAGGCUGCCAUGCAUGGACCCACCAGGGGGAUGACCAGACCCCACCAGCCCUGCCCCACCUCAGGGCGGGGGACGUUCCAGGCCACGCCAUCUCUCCCAGGGAGUCCAUGGCAACUGCCAAGCUUACAGCAGCCAGGUUGUCAGCAGGAGUAGGGGUAUAGAGGGCACUGGGCCUGGCAUCCGCACCCGCCUUUGCCUCAGCUCCACAUGUCUCCUCCUGUAUCUAGGCCUAUCUCCCUAGGGCUUCUCCCAUCUGCCGGUUCUGGAUGCCUCUGAGUACGAUGGUGGGGAGAGCAAAACACACAUACAAAGAGCAUCAUGAUGCCUGGGAGCCCGGGACCCAGUUGAAGGAGCAACACACGGCAGAUCGGAAGCCCUGCGUGCCUGUCCCCUCCCUCCCCAGCCAGCCUCAGUGUGAGUCCGCGUGCGUCUUUCCCACUAUCCAGCCCCAGGGGAACCCCCUGCUUUGGGUUGCAGCCGCCAUCUCUGCUGCAGUGUCUUCUGAUGAAAGCUGUCCCCUGUGGGCAUGAGUGUGGACAUGCUGCACCUCCUAAGGCAGCAGUGCCAAGGCUGAUGGUGCCCUCCACGGUGGUUUCAUGGCAUCGCUGCUGCACUAGAGGCUGCCCAGGGACGUGUGAACAGCUGUGAAGGGGCAGGUUCCUCAGGGAGGGAGGAUGGGCUGCGGGGAGGGUGGCUGGGGCAGGGGAAUGGGCAGAGCAUGACUUCCAAACACCUAGGAAGCCCCAGGUGGAGGGCGGAGGGGGGUCUUGCCAUCUUGGGAUAGGAGUUGACCUUUGACCCCAUCAUGCUCCUGCUGGGACCUGACCCAGGCACACUCCUCUUCCUCUGGGAGGGCUUGUCCCACCAGGGCAGGGGUCUGUGUGUGCCCAGGCAGGGAGCCACAGGCAGUAGGGGGAGGCUGGGGCUGCAAGCACAGAGGCCCCGGAAAGUGUGUGAGGACGCUGGGGAGUGGGAAGGGCCCUCGGAGGGGUGGUAUGGCCGGCUUAGGUUUUCUCGACAACUCUAGUUGAGUAUGCACUGCAGGGAGACGGAGAGGCCGCAGCCACUGAAGCCAACUGUGCUGGAGCAGGCGGAGGGCACCAGGGGUCCCUGGAGAGAAGUGCCGCCUCCUGCCAGGCCCCUGACCUAUAGUGCGCUGAUGGGCAAAAACGCUGACGAUGCAGGCCAGCUGAUAACCUGGAGGAGGCCGGCUGGAGUGGGGCCUGCCACACGUGAGGGGUACCCUGGGCUGGCGACAUGGGCAGUUCUUCUUG